Molecule: ribosomal RNA, 101 nt
Filed under: uncultured bacterium
Lineage: Bacteria
Description: partial 16S ribosomal RNA
Source: RNAcentral
CACACCGCCCGUCACACCACGAAAGCGAGUAACACCCGAAGCCGGUGUCGGAACUCCGCAAGGAGACCAAGCCGCCGAAGGCGAGCGCAGUGACUGGGGCG